Long non-coding RNA from Physella acuta, 282 nucleotides. RefSeq lists it as uncharacterized. Lineage: Eukaryota; Metazoa; Mollusca; Gastropoda; Physidae. The record is from RefSeq and is a predicted model, not a curated record.
AUUUGUUUUCACACGAAACCACAAUUCGCCAACCUACACAAAGCACAGUCCCACAUAUGAUGUGUUCACCUAUCCAAAAGAAGGCCUUACAUCUUUAUUUGAAAAACCUGGAUGAUAAAAGAAAUGCAUUAACCCCUAUGUUAAAUAGUAUUAACAAUGCUAUUGAUGAGUGCAACUCAUGGAUGAUGGAAAAAGAUGGAAGCAAAAAGAGCUUUGGAGAAAUGAUGCAGCAAUUAGAGGAAAUCGAUAACUCAGCUUUACAUAUUUGUUCUACAAUUCUGA